Molecule: ribosomal RNA, 373 nt
Filed under: uncultured bacterium
Lineage: Bacteria
Description: bacterial SSU rRNA
Rfam family: Bacterial small subunit ribosomal RNA
Source: RNAcentral
ACAGAGGGUGCAAGCGUUAAUCGGAAUGACUGGGCGUAAAGGGCACGUAGGCGGAUAGAUGUGUCAUAGGUGAAAUCCCCGGGCUUAACCUGGGAACUGCCUGUGAAACUGUGUAUCUAGAAUAUAGGAGAGGGAAGUGGAAUUUCCGGUGUAGCGGUGAAAUGCGUAGAUAUCGGAAAGAACACCAGUGGCGAAGGCGACUUCCUGGUCUAAUAUUGACGCUGAGGUGCGAAAGCGUGGGGAGCAAACGGGAUUAGAUACCCCGGUAGUCCACGCUGUAAACGAUGAGAACUAAAUGCUUGUUAGCUAAGGUUAAUGAGUAUUGAAGCAAACGCGUUAAGUUCUCCGCCUGGGGAGUACGGCCGCAAGGUUA